UCCAACUUUGAAGGGCUCAGGCAGGGGCCGUUUGGAGCCUGCUUCGUCCUGCCUAGAACCCGGAGUCGGAUAGGAGUGAAGCGAGGGAGAGGAAAGACCCUGAGGUAGAGGAAGUUCAAAUACCUUGGUGCUGAAGAAAUGGACCUUGAAGAUUUUUUUUUUUUUACAGGAAACCGAAAAGUAAAUACAAAUGGGGUGACAAAUGGCAAAUGGAAGGGGUUGCCAUUUGUUACACUUUUUUCUGAAGCUGUAAAGCAAUACUUCGGUAGAGAGAAAAAGAGAAACAUUCAAUAUGGUUUAAUGGGAAGAACUGUGUCACAACUCAGACUGGAACUAAUAAUGGGAGGGACGAAAUGGUAGUACAAGAGGUAUCUCCAUUCCCAAGCAAUAUUGCUACAUUAGAAAACUAAACAUAUGAACUGAAGUGGGGGGAACAAAUGGAACAACAGUGCACUGCAUCAUCAUUUCAUGAUCUCAAGUUUUUACAAGACAUUUGGUACUCUAGGUAAAUACCAAAAGACCUAGAUACACAAACUGACCAGACUGCAGAUGAAUGCUAGCCACAGGAGAUCAUUUAUCCUUUAUCAAACUGAGGUUUGCAGAUAUGACAACUAAUAGGAGAACAAAAAUAGGGAAAAUCUGCCUUCUCUUUCCUUGCUGACAUUACCUGUCACACAACAUCUGCCUGGGACAGCCAUAAUGCUGUGCUUAAUAGAAGGGCUAGGCUUGUACAUCCAGUUGCAAAAAUAGUCAGUGUAGCAGAAAAGGGUUCUUGGAAGAUAUCUGGUGAUGAAAAGUCAUAGCAUGAAAGUUUCCAGAAGGGAGGUGGGUGGAGUUUGGGAUCUUCAAGAUUGCAUAAGGAAAGAAUUCCAGAGACAUAAAAAGUGGAAAAAACACAUUUAAACCAUGUGCAGUACAAUGAGGCAAACAAAUGGAUAGAAAUACUGUUUUUAAUUAUUUCCAUUAUGUAAUAUAUUUUAUGAAAACUGAUGCUGAAAUUUUGGUUUGGUUUAAUAAUCCUCUUGCCUACAGGGAUGAGAUCCAUACUGAAUAUAGAACAAAAUAGCAUAAUGACGCUAUAAUUC
Molecule: long non-coding RNA, 1085 nt
Organism: Pantherophis guttatus
Lineage: Eukaryota; Metazoa; Chordata; Lepidosauria; Squamata; Colubridae
Source: RefSeq, a predicted model, not a curated record